This is a long non-coding RNA of Suricata suricatta (meerkat), 1565 nucleotides long. RefSeq lists it as uncharacterized. NCBI's taxonomy places the organism in Eukaryota, Metazoa, Chordata, Mammalia, Carnivora, Herpestidae. The record is from RefSeq and is a predicted model, not a curated record. The transcript is spliced from 2 exons.
ACACAGCUUUGGUGAGAGCUGCGAACGAUGGCAAGUGGGGAACGUUCCCCAUUGUCUCUUCUGCCAUCCGGAGAGCGUUCCUGAGAAAUGGAUGUACGCCUGUGAUAAUAGACUGACAAGGGAGAAAUGUGGGGGAUGGAUUGUGGGGAGUGGAUUCAUCUUCUCUGAGCAACUGGCCAGGCAGAGUUUCAGACGGGGCUCAUUUCCUUCAGGUCUCCGCUCAUCAUCCACUCAGAAGCUCUACUGUCACUCUUGUCACCACCUGACAUAAGCAUGCAUUCCCUUGCUUACCUGGCUCCUCAGGCCUGAGAGCCAGGGAUGAUCUGUUCCCUGCCUUAUCCCAGCACCUGAGACAAUGCCUGGAUCACAGCAGGGGUUCCACAGAUCCCUACUGAGUGACUGUGGCAGUCAGUGGUAGCUGUUCCCUAGCUUGCCUGCUGGACCCCUGGAAACAGAAAAGGAUGCCAGAUAUCAACUUUGGAAUAAUCUAAUCUUAUUUCAAGGACGAGGCAACUGAGGCUCGGAGAGGUCAUGGUUUGCUCCAAAUCUUGCUGGGCUCAGAGGACCCAACUGAGGCUCAGUGGACCACUGACCAGCGUGGCCUUUGGGAGCAUAGCACGGUUGUGCUGAAAACAAUGACAUGUGAUAGGGUGAUGGAGAGACGCUGGAAAGGACUCUCCUGGACAAUCCUGGGACACUGCCGACGUAUAAAGGGAAGUUCUGAUCUCACAGAGACAGAAUGAAGGAGGACGAUCAGGAGCCACCACGCCAUGUCAGGCUGCACACCUGGGGACGGCAAUGCAGGACAGCAGAUGGCCGCACUGAGAGCUAACAGCUGGCUGUCGUGGUACAAGGGGAGAAUCAGCAAAGAAUCUAGAAGGACAGAGGCAAAAUUCAUUUUUCUUCUCUACAGCAGACACACAAACACACACAUACACAGCCUCACCACACCCUCACACUCAUAUAAGAACUCACGUAUACACACCAACAUACACAACUCACACACUCCCUACUUCACGAAGGAAGACCAAAUACAUCCAGAUGUGGGGAAAGAGCUUCUCGUCACUGGAACUGCAAAUAUGACCUUUUCUUUCUACUGCUAGUCUUCUCACCCACCCUCAAGAUUCUCAGAAGCACAGAAGGGGACCGUCCCAAAGGCAGUCUGCAAGGCUGGGGGUGGGGAGGGGCGGCGCUGAUUUGUUCACUCCAGGCAGAUCGCUUCUGCAAGAGGAUUUCAGUAUGAAAUCAAGACUCUCACAUCUGUAUCCUCAGAAAAUCAGAACUUUCAGAACCAAGAGAUUGGUUUCCACUAAAUGCGUGAUUUACGGAAGACCAAGCAAGACGUGCCUGCUGACAGAUAAGCAUCUGCCUGAAAUCUCUCCCCUCCUUCAAGUCAUCAAAGUUUCUGCUUCAAGUCUGGCUGGACUUCCCCUCUUUGCAUUCCUUUCCCUUAACUAUAGCCCACCCCAAACCCCUCAACCGGCUGGCCUGCAGCUUCUCACAACACGGUUUCCUGAAUUAUGUCCUCUGCUCCUCCCAAAUAGACCCAACUUUUGAUAAUUUGA